This 440-nucleotide ribosomal RNA is filed under the name uncultured bacterium. Its description in RNAcentral is "partial 16S ribosomal RNA". It matches the Rfam family "Bacterial small subunit ribosomal RNA", at positions 338 to 795 of the family's 1533-position model. The record is from RNAcentral.
CCUACGGGAGGCUGCAGUCGGGAAUUUUGCUCAAUGGGCGCAAGCCUGAAGCAGCCACGCCGCGUGAGGGAUGAAGGCCUUCGGGUCGUAAACCUCUUUUGCCGAGGACGAUAAUGACGGUACUCGGUGAAUAAGCCACUGCUAACUCCGUGCCAGCAGCCGCGGUAAUACGUAGGUGGCAAGCGUUGUCCGGAUUUACUGGGCGUAAAGAGCGCGCAGGCGGUCGUAUAAGUCGAAUGUGAAAGCCCCCGGCUCAACUGGGGAGGGUCAUUCGAUACUGUACGACUCGAGGGCAGGAGAGGGAAGUGGAAUUCCGGGUGUAGUGGUGAAAUGCGUAGAUAUCCGGAGGAACACCAGUGGCGAAGGCGACUUUCUGGCCUGUUAUUGACGCUGAGGCGCGAAAGCUAGGGGAGCAAACGGGAUUAGAUACCCGAGUAGUC